AUUGAACGCUGGCGGCAUGCCUUACACAUGCAAGUCGAACGGCAGCACGGGAGCAAUCCUGGUGGCGAGUGGCGAACGGGUGAGUAAUAUAUCGGAACGUGCCCAGUCGUGGGGAUAACGUAGCGAAAGCUACGCUAAUACCGCAUACGAUCUAUGGAUGAAAGCGGGGGAUCGCAAGACCUCGCGCGAUUGGAGCGGCCGAUAUCAGAUUAGGUAGUUGGUGAGGUAAAGGCUCACCAAGCCGACGAUCUGUAGCUGGUCUGAGAGGACGACCAGCCACACUGGGACUGAGACACGGCCCAGACUCCUACGGGAGGCAGCAGUGGGGAAUUUUGGACAAUGGGCGCAAGCCUGAUCCAGCAAUGCCGCGUGCAGGAUGAAGGCCUCGGGUUGUAAC
This 397-nucleotide ribosomal RNA is filed under the name uncultured bacterium. RNAcentral describes it as "bacterial SSU rRNA". It matches the Rfam family "Bacterial small subunit ribosomal RNA", at positions 30 to 429 of the family's 1533-position model. The record is from RNAcentral.